CAACGGUCGAGAAGAGACUGAUCCCCGUCUCUGGUGUCUGCUGAUUUAAAUUGAUGGGCUGACGGAAAUAUUGUUGUGCGGAUUUAACGUUACACUUUAAACACGAAAGAGCCUGAACCGCAACAAUGUCACAAGUUGCCUUACAUCGAUUAUAUUAAACCUGGAAAAUAUUGGAGAAGAUCAAUUGAGUUUUCAGGAGCACAUUACUGUGAUAAAUGCUGAACUACGUAAAAGACAACCCGACUACACCAACAUAAAAAAUCGAAUGAGAUGCACUCUUUUUAAAAGAGUCGAUUUAAUGACAAAAUCAACACGAGAGGUCAUGGACAUGUUCCCAUUUCUUCGGGUUCCACAACUUCUGCUGCAUGAAGUGAAGAUGCGGUUUGGGAAGGACCUUCAUCUUAAUCUAGAGACUGCUCUUCAAAUUCUGGCCCCAAACAUCUUAAAUGUGGCUAGACAUGGAAGUCAGAGGGAUGUGCUGAACAGUUUACUUCAGCAAAUUGACUCAAAUACAAAAAGAAUCAUUAAAGCCAACUCCGACUAUAGUUUUUCAUGAAGCUUCAAACCCCCUCCAUGCAAAAAGAGCCAGCAUCAAUAUGGAGGGUGUCAACAUUGUGAGCGCAGAAAUGGAUGUGGUGGCAAUGGAGUGCCUCUUUGCUGCUUAUUUCGUAUUCAGUGUGGAAUACCCCAAGCACAUCACUCACAUGAUGAAUUUUGUUGAGCACUACCUGUUUAAACUCUCCAGCAGCCAAAAAAAACUGUCUGUCCCAGUGCUCAAAAUGUAUAAUCAAUUAUCAUAAUACUUUGAUAUGUCAUGAAUAGUGCUAAUGUAAAUAUGUGGUGAUUGAUGUUAUUCUGAAAUGCUGAUCUGAAUUUUAAUCUAUGUAUUCACAUUCUUUAUGAGUGAUAUUAAUAUGAAUUUGUAUAUUUGAAGUACUUCUAUAUCUGUAUAUUUCCAUUGUGAGUUAUAUUAAUAUGUAUUUGUAGUUUUGAGGGACUUGAUG
Long non-coding RNA from Xyrauchen texanus (razorback sucker), 1004 nucleotides. RefSeq lists it as uncharacterized. Lineage: Eukaryota; Metazoa; Chordata; Actinopteri; Cypriniformes; Catostomidae. The transcript is spliced from 5 exons. The record is from RefSeq and is a predicted model, not a curated record.